This 659-nucleotide ribosomal RNA is filed under the name uncultured bacterium. RNAcentral describes it as "bacterial SSU rRNA". It matches the Rfam family "Bacterial small subunit ribosomal RNA", at positions 73 to 749 of the family's 1533-position model. The record is from RNAcentral.
GUUACCUUCGGGUAAUGAGGAUGGCGGACGGGUGAGUAACGCGUAAGGAACUUGCCUCUUGGACUGGGACAACUGUUGGAAACGACAGCUAAUACCGGAUAUUAUGAGAUUCUCGCAUGAGAAACUUAUGAAAGCUAUAUGCGCCAAGAGAGAGCCUUGCGUUCCAUUAGCUAGUUGGUGGGGUAACGGCCCACCAAGGCGACGAUGGAUAGCCGGCCUGAGAGGGUGAACGGCCACAAGGGGGCUGAGACACGGCCCUUACUCCUACGGGAGGCAGCAGUGGGGAAUAUUGGACAAUGGGCCACAAGCCUGAUCCAGCAAUUCUGUGUGCACGAUGAAGGUCUUCGGAUUGUAAAGUGCUUUCAGUUGGGAAGAAGAAAGUGACGGUACCAACAGAAGAAGCGACGGCUAAAUACGUGCCAGCAGCCGCGGUAAUACGUAUGUCGCAAGCGUUAUCCGGAUUUAUUGGGCGUAAAGCGCGUCUAGGCGGAAAAAUAAGUCUGAUGUUAAAAUGCGGGGCUCAACUCCGUAUUGCGUUGGAAACUGUUUUUCUAGAGUACUGGAGAGGUGGGCGGAACUACAAGUGUAGAGGUGAAUUCGUAGAUAUUUGUAGGAAUGCCGAUGGAGAAGUCAGCUCACUGGACAGAUACUGACGCUGA